Condylura cristata (star-nosed mole) is the source of this 260-nucleotide long non-coding RNA. RefSeq lists it as uncharacterized. The transcript has 3 exons. The record is from RefSeq and is a predicted model, not a curated record. NCBI's taxonomy places the organism in Eukaryota, Metazoa, Chordata, Mammalia, Eulipotyphla, Talpidae.
AAGUCUGAGACCCACAGAGUUUGUGCGACUUGCCCAGGGCCAAAAGACACCUAAAAGGGAAUAUGAAGGGCUGUGAGACCCCAAAUGACAUCCAGUUGCCCCCACUUUCUUCUCUAACUUAAUGGCCUCCACCCCAAAGAAGCCUAUGGCUCACCAGACUGACCUUAGAAACUACAAAGGUGUUAACCAACGGUUGUACCUCAUUUUACAUCCUUGACCUCUUUGGAUCACCAUCUCCUCACUAAUAAAAGAUCAUUUUU